Molecule: ribosomal RNA, 468 nt
Filed under: uncultured bacterium
Lineage: Bacteria
Description: partial 16S ribosomal RNA
Rfam family: Bacterial small subunit ribosomal RNA
Source: RNAcentral
GACGAACGCUGGCGGCGUGCUUAACACAUGCAAGUCGAACGGAAAGGCCCUGCUUUUGUGGGGUGCUCGAGUGGCGAACGGGUGAGUAACACGUGAGUAACCUGCCCUUGACUUUGGGAUAACUUCAGGAAACUGGGGCUAAUACCGGAUAGGAGCUCCUGCUGCAUGGUGGGGGAUGGAAAGUUUCGGCGGUUGGGGAUGGACUCGCGGCUUAUCAGCUUGUUGGUGGGGUAGUGGCUUACCAAGGCUUUGACGGGUAGCCGGCCUGAGAGGGUGACCGGCCACAUUGGGACUGAGAUACGGCCCAGACUCCUACGGGAGGCAGCAGUGGGGAAUAUUGCACAAUGGGCGGAAGCCUGAUGCAGCAACGCCGCGUGCGGGAUGACGGCCUUCGGGUUGUAAAACGCUUUCGCCUGUGACGAAGCGUGAGUGACGGUAAUGGGUAAAGAAGCACCGGCUAACUACGUG